UCUCCGUUGGUGAACCAGCGGAGGGAUCAUUACCGAGUUUACAACUCCCAAACCCUAUGUGAAACUUACCUUUGGUCGCUUCGGCGGGAUCGCCCUGGCGCUUCCCGGCGCCGGACCGCACUGCCCGCCGCAGGCCCAACACUCCUGUUUAUUUAUGUUUCCUCUCCGAGUGGCACAAGCAUAAUAAAUCAAAACUUUCAACAACGGAACUCUUGGUUCUG
RNAcentral lists this unclassified non-coding RNA (221 nucleotides) under plant metagenome. RNAcentral describes it as "partial contains small subunit ribosomal RNA, internal transcribed spacer 1, and 5.8S ribosomal RNA". The record is from RNAcentral.